UACGUAGGAUGCAAGCGUUGUCCGGAAUUAUUGGGCGUAAAGAGCGCGCAGGCGGUCUAUCAAGUCAGAUGUGAAAUAUCCAGGCUUAACCUGGAGGGGUCAUUUGAAACUGGUAGACUAGAGUACAGCAGAGGAUAGUGGAAUUCCCGGUGUAGUGGUGAAAUGCGUAGAUAUCGGGAGGAACACCAGUGGCGAAGGCGGGUCUCUGGGCCGAUACUGACGCUGAGGAGCGAAAGCGUGGGGAGCGAACAGG
RNAcentral lists this ribosomal RNA (253 nucleotides) under uncultured bacterium. RNAcentral's name for it is "partial 16S ribosomal RNA". It matches the Rfam family "Bacterial small subunit ribosomal RNA", at positions 524 to 776 of the family's 1533-position model. The record is from RNAcentral.